This is a long non-coding RNA of Papaver somniferum (opium poppy), 3264 nucleotides long. RefSeq lists it as uncharacterized. The record is from RefSeq and is a predicted model, not a curated record. Lineage: Eukaryota; Viridiplantae; Streptophyta; Magnoliopsida; Ranunculales; Papaveraceae. The transcript has 3 exons.
UACCUUCACCUUUCUGGCUCUUUUCCUUUUUCUCUUUAACUGGUGCAUUUCUUCUCUUAUUGAAAAACAAAUUAAAGAACAUUAUUUGAAUCAUAUUCAUGUGUUAGUGAACCUUAUAGAGACCCGAACAUAUUGGGUUGCUAAUGUUGUUGAAAACAUAGCAGUUAGGGUAUCUUGUUCUGAGGUUUAGUUCGAGUAAGAUGAUGGCGGAGUAUUUGGAGUUGUUGCCGUGAUACGAGUGAUGAGUGCAUGUGAUUGAAAUGGUAUCCUAGCAUUUCAUUGGGGGUUUGGAGAAAUCUUAUUAGUUUUGUAUGCACUUGGAAAGAAAUUUAAUUCUAGAAAACAAUAUAGAGAUCAAUGUGGUUGUGGCUCAAAUUGGUUAUGGAUGAAGGAGAUUGGGGUGAAGUCAGAGAUAGCACAAGUUUAGAGAACUUGGACUGUUUGGAUUAGGAAAUUGAAAAAAAUAAAAUAAUAAAUUAUAAGAAGGUUUUGAAAAUUGGGUGUGUGGAUCCUAUCGGAGAUCUCGUUCAUUUUUGGCCAUGGACUACCAUUUGAGUACUUACUAUGAAUCCAGAGAUAGUCUUUAGUAUUUAUAGAUCUGUUACGUCUAUCUCAUCUUGGCAAGAAGUUAUAAAAACUGGGUAGAUUUCGAAUUGAUUCGAAAAUGUUGCAAGUGCGAUUUCUGAAUGGCGAAUCAGAGAGUCGGAACUUGCCAAGCGGGCUGAAACUUGGUUCGUUGGAAGUUCAGAUUUUCCGAUCCGUCACAGUUGGUAUCAGAGCAGGUCCGGUUCAUUCGGGACUGUGAGUCUGGGACUCGUCAGCGUUUUCUUUGUAUUGGGACUACAGGUAAUCCUCAUUACUUCUAAGUUUUGUUUUGAACUUUGAGGACAAAGUUCUUUUAAAGGGAUUAAUGGUGUGACGGGCUGAAUUAUUUCUGGUUUGACUAAACUCAAUAGAGCUAGAAAUCACAUUACUUACUUGGAGUGUGAUUAACAUUUUUGUGUCUGCCCUAAUAGUUAAACGUGCAACUAUUAUCUUCACACACGUCUACACAUGGUGGUGUACGUAUCCUUCUUAGAGAAAAGAAAAUAAAAAGAUGCAGCCAGAGAAAACGAGGGGGGGUCUUUUUAUUUCUUCUUCGAUGAUUAUUUUUCUUCCCCUCACCUUUCUGCCUCUUUUCCUUUUUCUCUUUAACUGGUGCAUUUCUUCUCUUCUUGAAAAACAAAUCAAAGAACAUGAUUUGAAUCAUAUUCAUGUGUUAGUGAACCUUAUAGAGACCCGAACAUAUUGGGUUGCUAAUGUUGUUGAAAACAUAACAGUUAGGGUAUCUUAUUCUGAGGUUUAGUUUGAGUAAGAUGAUGGCGGAGUAUUUGGAGUUGUUGCCGUGAUACGAGUGAUGAGUGCAUGUGAUUGAAAUGGUAUCCUAGCAUUUCAUUGGGGGUUUGGAGAAAUCUUAUUAGUUUUGCAUGGACUUGGAAAGAAAUUCAAUUCUAGAAAACAAUCUAGAUAUAGAUGUGGUUGUGGCUCAAAUUGGUUAUGGAUGGAGGAGAUUGGGGGUGAAGUCAGAGAUAGCACAAGUUUGGAGAACUUGGACUGUUUGGAUUAGGAAAUUGAAAAAAAUUAAAUAAUAAAUUAUAAGAAAGUUUUGGAAAUUGGGUGUGUGGAUCCUAUCGGAGAUCUCGUUCAUUUUUGGCCAUGGACUACCAUUGUGAGUAUAAACAAGUCCUUUAAUUUUAGAUUUUUUGUUCUUAGCUUUCUGUCAAUAUGAAAAUUUGACGUACUCUAUGUGUUUGUUAAAAAUCCUGAGCUAGUAUAUAUUCGUUGAUGAACAAAAAUUUAAUAGUUGAUCUCCCUCAUCCGAAUAUCUUGUUUAGUAAUUUGUCUACCUGUUUAUAGUAGAGAAUGUUAGGGUUUAUAAUUAUUAAGAUAUUUUAUAAAGGUUUAUUGACUAAACCUGAUCAGGGAAGAAAAGAUUUGGAUUUUUGUAUAUGUGUGAUGUUACAGAAAUACUUGGAUGGUUGGCGUAUAUGCUGCCACUUACUUUUGAUGAUAAAGUGAUGAUUUUUAGUAGUGAACAAAUAAAUAUUGGUGUUGGUGAUAGUGUGGUGCUGACUUGUGUUUCAUCACCAUGAUGGUAAUAUGCUUCCUAUCAUUCCCAUCGUAUUAUAUAUCUCCUAAUCUCUACAGUACUGCACUAUUUCUGUUGCCCCUAUUUAUCGCCUCUGCAAGGUCUUCCGUAAACUUUGGUUGGCAUAUUUUACUUGGAAUCUCUAGCAUGUUGUUUGGUUUAACCACCGACUUUGAGAAAAUGGUAGACAUUGUAUUUGAAAAAAAUAAAAUAAAAUUGAAUGUGUUGAUGCUUGCACGGUACCGAAAGUAGAGCAGUGAUCGCAACUUGUUAAAUCAAAUAAUAUUUAGGCCGGUAGAUUCUUAGUUGAUAUUGUUGUUUAGAAUUUCUUGAGUUGUUCACUUUGGAUUCAAUCAAUGUAAAUCCUAAUAGUAUGUAUGCCUACCCUUGGUAAAAGUUGAUUAGUAUUUCAUAAUCAGACUUAUACUACAAAGAGUUGUAGUUUUGUGCUUUAGUGUUAUCUAAUCAUAGAGAUGAUAGAAAUGAGGAUCACUGUGCAUACUGUGCAAAAGGCUUAUGUCCUUGGUCAUUUAUAUGUGUUCCAAUAUCUAUUUUAGCACAUUCUUUUGCAUUUGCGUCAUACUGAGGAGGUUGAUGCUCUGUUAAAAUGGUUUGCAAAAAUGUUUAAGUAAUUUUAUUUCUAGAGAAACAAGUUAUUUGGAUAAUGCCAAUUAAAAGGUAAAGGGAAUCUUAUUAUUAUAGCAUACUGGGUUAAUAAACAUAAUGUGGGAAUUUAAUUAUUAUUAUAUGCUUAGUGUUUUCAUAACGUUGGUGGUUAUUUCAUUUAAACUGUAGUAUUUCUCUUGUUUCAAGUGGCAUCGUUUCCUCUUGUAGUGUUUCCUCAGUAAGUGGACAACCUUGGGUGCUAAUAUAUUCUCAUGCUUAAUAUUCAUACUCUGUCAGAAUCCUAAUCUUAGGAGUUGCGGAUGCGUGUGACGGCAUAUUUUAGAUUGGUGUGUUGGAUUAAUUGGAUAAGGGCUUAGCUAGACCAAGUAAGAGAAUUUAUGUUGUUGAGUACUAUGUGCUACUACUAACUCACAUUUCAUUUCCUGAAUGGUAAGUGUAUUUUAGCUUGUUCUUAUCCUUUUGUAGAACUUAUGGAUAUUUGUACGCCUUGUUAUUCCUUUCUUCUCUUC